GACGAACGCUGGCGGCGUGCUUAACACAUGCAAGUCGAACGGUGAUGCUCCAGCUUGCUGGCGUGGAUCAGUGGCGAACGGGUGAGUAACACGUGAGCAACCUGCCCCAGACUCUGGAAUAAGCGCUGGAAACGGCGUCUAAUACUGGAUACGAAACUGGCCCGCAUGGGCAUGGUUUGGAAAGUUUUUCGGUUUGGGAUGGGCUCGCGGCCUAUCAGCUUGUUGGUGAGGUAAUGGCUCACCAAGGCGACGACGGGUAGCCGGCCUGAGAGGGCGACCGGCCACACUGGGACUGAGACACGGCCCGGACUCCUACGGGAGGCAGCAGUGGGGAAUAUUGCACAAUGGGCGAAAGCCUGAUGCAGCGACGCCGCGUGAGGGAUGACGGCCUUCGGGUUGUAAACCUCUUUCAGCAGGGAAGAAGCGAAAGUGACGGUACCUGCAGAAGAAGCACCGGCUAACUACGUG
Molecule: ribosomal RNA, 468 nt
Filed under: uncultured bacterium
Lineage: Bacteria
Description: partial 16S ribosomal RNA
Rfam family: Bacterial small subunit ribosomal RNA
Source: RNAcentral